UACGUAGGCAGCGAGCGUUGUUCGGAAUUACUGGGCGUAAAGAGUGUGUAGGCGGUGCUCUAAGUUCGGUGUGAAAUCUCCUGCUUAACUGGGAGGGUGCGCCGGAAACUGGAGUGCUCGAACGUGGGAGAGGAAAGCGGAAUUCCUGGUGUAGCGGUGAAAUGCGUAGAUAUCUGGAGGAACACCGGUGGCGAAGGCGGCAUUCUGGACCGACAUUGACGCUGAGGAGCGAAAGCCAGGGGAGCAAACGGG
This 252-nucleotide ribosomal RNA is filed under the name uncultured bacterium. RNAcentral describes it as "partial 16S ribosomal RNA". It matches the Rfam family "Bacterial small subunit ribosomal RNA", at positions 524 to 776 of the family's 1533-position model. The record is from RNAcentral.